Molecule: ribosomal RNA, 646 nt
Filed under: uncultured bacterium
Lineage: Bacteria
Description: bacterial SSU rRNA
Rfam family: Bacterial small subunit ribosomal RNA
Source: RNAcentral
AUAACAGUUAGAAAUGACUGUUAAUACCGCAUAAAACAGCAGAGUCGCAUGACUCAACUGUCAAAGAUUUAUCGGUGUAAGAUGGACCCGCGUCUGAUUAGCUAGUUGGUGGGGUAACGGCCUACCAAGGCGACGAUCAGUAGCCGGCCUGAGAGGGUGAACGGCCACAUUGGGACUGAGACACGGCCCAAACUCCUACGGGAGGCAGCAGUGGGGAAUAUUGGACAAUGGGCGAAAGCCUGAUCCAGCGACGCCGCGUGAGCGAUGAAGUAUUUCGGUAUGUAAAGCUCUAUCAGCAGGGAAGAAAACGACGGUACCUGACUAAGAAGCCCCGGCUAACUACGUGCCAGCAGCCGCGGUAAUACGUAGGGGGCAAGCGUUAUCCGGAUUUACUGGGUGUAAAGGGAGCGUAGACGGCAUCACAAGUCAGAAGUGAAAAUCCGGGGCUCAGCCCCGGAACUGCUUUUGAAACUGUGGAGCUGGAGUGCAGGAGAGGUAAGCGGAAUUCCUAGUGUAGCGGUGAAAUGCGUAGAUAUUAGGAGGAACACCAGUGGCGAAGGCGGCUUACUGGACUGUAACUGACGUUGAGGCUCGAAAGCGUGGGGAGCAAACAGGAUUAGAUACCCUGGUAGUCCACGCCGUAAAC